CCAGCAGCCGCGGUAAUUCCAGCUCCAAUAGCGUAUAUUAAAGUUGUUGCAGUUAAAAAGCUCGUAGUCUGAUGUAAUGGGGACGGGAGUGGGGAGCAGCGAUGCUCUGUGCUUCGGUUUCCAUCAGGGGGUCAGCAAUGGCCCGGUUAACUUUGAAAAAAUUAGAGUGUUCAAAGCAGGCCAACGCUUGAAUACAUUAGCAUGGAAUAAUGGAAUAGGACUUUGGUGCUAUUUCGUUGGUUUAUGGGACCGAAGUAAUGAUUAAUAGGGACAGUUGGGGCCGUUUAUAUUCCGUUGUCAGAGGUGAAAUUCUUGGAUUUACGGAAGAUAAACUUCUGCGAAAGCAUUCGGCAAGGAUGUUUUCAUUGAUCAAGAACGAAAGU
This 383-nucleotide ribosomal RNA is filed under the name uncultured eukaryote. RNAcentral describes it as "SSU rRNA". It matches the Rfam family "Eukaryotic small subunit ribosomal RNA", at positions 567 to 990 of the family's 1831-position model. The record is from RNAcentral.